Molecule: ribosomal RNA, 2603 nt
Filed under: Salmonella enterica subsp. enterica serovar Kimuenza
Lineage: Bacteria; Pseudomonadati; Pseudomonadota; Gammaproteobacteria; Enterobacterales; Enterobacteriaceae
Description: partial 23S ribosomal RNA
Rfam family: Bacterial large subunit ribosomal RNA
Source: RNAcentral
AAAGGCGCGCGAUACAGGGUGACAGCCCCGUACACAAAAGCGCAUGUGCUGUGAGCUCGAUGAGUAGGGCGGGACACGUGGUAUCCUGUCUGAAUAUGGGGGGACCAUCCUCCAAGGCUAAAUACUCCUGACUGACCGAUAGUGAACCAGUACCGUGAGGGAAAGGCGAAAAGAACCCCGGCGAGGGGAGUGAAAAAGAACCUGAAACCGUGUACGUACAAGCAGUGGGAGCACAGGUUUACCUGUGUGACUGCGUACCUUUUGUAUAAUGGGUCAGCGACUUAUAUUCUGUAGCAAGGUUAACCGAAUAGGGGAGCCGGAGGGAAACCGAGUCUUAAUUGGGCGUUAAGUUGCAGGGUAUAGACCCGAAACCCGGUGAUCUAGCCAUGGGCAGGUUGAAGGUUGGGUAACACUAACUGGAGGACCGAACCGACUAAUGUUGAAAAAUUAGCGGAUGACCUGUGGCUGGGGGUGAAAGGCCAAUCAAACCGGGAGAUAGCUGGUUCUCCCCGAAAGCUAUUUAGGUAGCGCCUCGUGAAUUCAUCUCCGGGGGUAGAGCACUGUUUCGGCUAGGGGGCCAUCCCGGCUUACCAACCCGAUGCAAACUGCGAAUACCGGAGAAUGUUAUCACGGGAGACACACGGCGGGUGCUAACGUCCGUCGUGAAGAGGGAAACAACCCAGACCGCCAGCUAAGGUCCCAAAGUCAUGGUUAAGUGGGAAACGAUGUGGGAAGGCCCAGACAGCCAGGAUGUUGGCUUAGAAGCAGCCAUCAUUUAAAGAAAGCGUAAUAGCUCACUGGUCGAGUCGGCCUGCGCGGAAGAUGUAACGGGGCUAAACCAUGCACCGAAGCUGCGGCAGCGACGCUGAUGCGUUGUUGGGUAGGGGAGCGUUCUGUAAGCCUGCGAAGGUGGCCUGUGAGGGUUGCUGGAGGUAUCAGAAGUGCGAAUGCUGACAUAAGUAACGAUAAAGCGGGUGAAAAGCCCGCUCGCCGGAAGACCAAGGGUUCCUGUCCAACGUUAAUCGGGGCAGGGUGAGUCGACCCCUAAGGCGAGGCCGAAAGGCGUAGUCGAUGGGAAACGGGUUAAUAUUCCCGUACUUGGUGUUACUGCGAAGGGGGGACGGAGAAGGCUAUGUUGGCCGGGCGACGGUUGUCCCGGUUUAAGCGUGUAGGUGUGUGUUCCAGGUAAAUCCGGUUCACUUUAACACUGAGGCGUGAUGACGAGGCACUACGGUGCUGAAGCAACAAAUGCCCUGCUUCCAGGAAAAGCCUCUAAGCAUCAGGUAACAUCAAAUCGUACCCCAAACCGACACAGGUGGUCAGGUAGAGAAUACCAAGGCGCUUGAGAGAACUCGGGUGAAGGAACUAGGCAAAAUGGUGCCGUAACUUCGGGAGAAGGCACGCUGACACGUAGGUGAAGUGAUUUACUCAUGGAGCUGAAGUCAGUCGAAGAUACCAGCUGGCUGCAACUGUUUAUUAAAAACACAGCACUGUGCAAACACGAAAGUGGACGUAUACGGUGUGACGCCUGCCCGGUGCCGGAAGGUUAAUUGAUGGGGUCAGCGCAAGCGAAGCUCCUGAUCGAAGCCCCGGUAAACGGCGGCCGUAACUAUAACGGUCCUAAGGUAGCGAAAUUCCUUGUCGGGUAAGUUCCGACCUGCACGAAUGGCGUAAUGAUGGCCAGGCUGUCUCCACCCGAGACUCAGUGAAAUUGAACUCGCUGUGAAGAUGCAGUGUACCCGCGGCAAGACGGAAAGACCCCGUGAACCUUUACUAUAGCUUGACACUGAACAUUGAGCCUUGAUGUGUAGGAUAGGUGGGAGGCUUUGAAGUGUGGACGCCAGUCUGCAUGGAGCCGGCCUUGAAAUACCACCCUUUAAUGUUUGAUGUUCUAACGUGGACCCGUGAUCCGGGUUGCGGACAGUGUCUGGUGGGUAGUUUGACUGGGGCGGUCUCCUCCUAAAGAGUAACGGAGGAGCACGAAGGUUGGCUAAUCCUGGUCGGACAUCAGGAGGUUAGUGCAAUGGCAUAAGCCAGCUUGACUGCGAGCGUGACGGCGCGAGCAGGUGCGAAAGCAGGUCAUAGUGAUCCGGUGGUUCUGAAUGGAAGGGCCAUCGCUCAACGGAUAAAAGGUACUCCGGGGAUAACAGGCUGAUACCGCCCAAGAGUUCAUAUCGACGGCGGUGUUUGGCACCUCGAUGUCGGCUCAUCACAUCCUGGGGCUGAAGUAGGUCCCAAGGGUAUGGCUGUUCGCCAUUUAAAGUGGUACGCGAGCUGGGUUUAGAACGUCGUGAGACAGUUCGGUCCCUAUCUGCCGUGGGCGCUGGAGAACUGAGGGGGGCUGCUCCUAGUACGAGAGGACCGGAGUGGACGCAUCACUGGUGUUCGGGUUGUCAUGCCAAUGGCACUGCCCGGUAGCUAAAUGCGGAAGAGAUAAGUGCUGAAAGCAUCUAAGCACGAAACUUGCCCCGAGAUGAGUUCUCCCUGAGACUUAGAGUCUCCUGAAGGAACGUUGAAGACGACGACGUUGAUAGGCCGGGUGUGUAAGCGCAGCGAUGCGUUGAGCUAACCGGUACUAAUGAACCGUGAGGCUUAACCUUACA